UGGGGAAUAUUGGACAAUGGGGGAAACCCUGAUCCAGCAAUGCCGCGUGAAUGAAGAAGGCCUUCGGGUUGUAAAGUUCUUUCACUUGUGAAGAUGAUGACGGUAGCAAGAGAAGAAGCUCCGGCUAACUCUGUGCCAGCAGCCGCGGUAAGACAGAGGGAGCUAGCGUUGUUCGGAAUGACUGGGCGUAAAGGGUGCGUAGGCGGCUGUUUAAGUAGGGUGUAAAAGCCCUGGGCUCAACCCAGGAACGGCACUCUAAACUGGACAGCUAGAGUCUGACAGAGGAAAGUGGAAUUCCUAGUGUAGGGGUGAAAUCCGCAGAUAUUAGGAGGAACACCAGAGGCGAAGGCGGCUUUCUGGGUCAGUACUGACGCUGAGGCACGAAAGCGUGGGGAGCAAACAGG
Molecule: ribosomal RNA, 404 nt
Filed under: uncultured bacterium
Lineage: Bacteria
Description: bacterial SSU rRNA
Rfam family: Bacterial small subunit ribosomal RNA
Source: RNAcentral